RNAcentral lists this ribosomal RNA (420 nucleotides) under uncultured archaeon. RNAcentral describes it as "partial 16S ribosomal RNA". It matches the Rfam family "Archaeal small subunit ribosomal RNA", at positions 323 to 746 of the family's 1478-position model. The record is from RNAcentral.
CUACGGGUGGCACCAGGCGCGUAACCUUUACAAUGCACGAAAGUGUGAUAAGGGGAUCCCAAGUGCUUAACAUUGUUAGGCUUUUGCCAAGUGUAAAUAGCUUGGCGAAUAAGGGGUGGGAAAGACUGGUGCCAGCCGCCGCGGUAACACCAGCGCCCCAAGUGGCAAUCGCGUUUAUUGGGCCUAAAGCGUUCGUAGCAGGUUCUAUAAAUCCUUUGUGAAAUCGGCAAGCUUAACUUGUCGGCGUGCAGAGGACACUGUAGGACUCGAGACUGGGAGAGGUUAGAAGUAUUCCUUGGGUACCGGUAAAAUGGGUUAAUCCAAGGAGGACUACCGAUGGCGAAGGCAUCUAACCAGAACGGAUCUGACUGUGAGGAACGAAAGCUAGGGGAGCAAAACGGAUUAGAUACCCUCGUAGUC